Molecule: ribosomal RNA, 1448 nt
Filed under: uncultured Actinomycetes bacterium
Lineage: Bacteria; Bacillati; Actinomycetota; Actinomycetes
Description: uncultured actinobacterium partial 16S ribosomal RNA
Rfam family: Bacterial small subunit ribosomal RNA
Source: RNAcentral
GACGAACGCUGGCGGCGUGCUUAACACAUGCAAGUCGAACGGAAAGGCCCUGCUUUUGUGGGGUGCUCGAGUGGCGAACGGGUGAGUAACACGUGAGUAACCUGCCCUUGACUUUGGGAUAACUUCAGGAAACUGGGGCUAAUACCGGAUAGGAGCUCCUGCUGCAUGGUGGGGGUUGGAAAGUUUCGGCGGUUGGGGAUGGACUCGCGGCUUAUCAGCUUGUUGGUGGGGUAGUGGCUUACCAAGGCUUUGACGGGUAGCCGGCCUGAGAGGGUGACCGGCCACAUUGGGACUGAGAUACGGCCCAGACUCCUACGGGAGGCAGCAGUGGGGAAUAUUGCACAAUGGGCGGAAGCCUGAUGCAGCAACGCCGCGUGCGGGAUGACGGCCUUCGGGUUGUAAACCGCUUUCGCCUGUGACGAAGCGUGAGUGACGGUAAUGGGUAAAGAAGCACCGGCUAACUACGUGCCAGCAGCCGCGGUGAUACGUAGGGUGCGAGCGUUGUCCGGAUUUAUUGGGCGUAAAGGGCUCGUAGGUGGUUGAUCGCGUCGGAAGUGUAAUCUUGGGGCUUAACCCUGAGCGUGCUUUCGAUACGGGUUGACUUGAGGAAGGUAGGGGAGAAAUGGAAUUCCUGGUGGAGCGGUGGAAUGCGCAGAUAUCAGGAGGAACACCAGUGGCGAAGGCGGUUCUCUGGGCCUUUCCUGACGCUGAGGAGCGAAAGCGUGGGGAGCGAACAGGCUUAGAUACCCUGGUAGUCCACGCUGUAAACGGUGGGUACUAGGUGUGGGGUCCAUUCCACGGGUUCCGCGCCGUAGCUAACGCUUUAAGUACCCCGCCUGGGGAGUACGGCCGCAAGGCUAAAACUCAAAGGAAUUGACGGGGCCCCGCACAAGCGGCGGAGCAUGCGGAUUAAUUCGAUGCAACGCGUAGAACCUUACCUGGGUUUGACAUGGAUCGGGAGUGCUCAGAGAUGGGUGUGCCUCUUUUGGGGUCGGUUCACAGGUGGUGCAUGGCUGUCGUCAGCUCGUGUCGUGAGAUGUUGGGUUAAGUCCCGCAACGAGCGCAACCCUUGUUCACUGUUGCCAGCACGUUAUGGUGGGGACUCAGUGGAGACCGCCGGGGUCAACUCGGAGGAAGGUGGGGAUGACGUCAAGUCAUCAUGCCCCUUAUGUCCAGGGCUUCACGCAUGCUACAAUGGCUGGUACAGAGAGUGGCGAGCCUGUGAGGGUGAGCGAAUCUCGGAAAGCCGGUCUCAGUUCGGAUUGGGGUCUGCAACUCGACCUCAUGAAGUCGGAGUCGCUAGUAAUCGCAGAUCAGCAACGCUGCGGUGAAUACGUUCCCGGGGCUUGUACACACCGCCCGUCAAGUCAUGAAAGUUGGUAACACCCGAAGCCGGUGGCCUAACCGUUGUGGGGGAGCCGUCGAAGGUGGGACUGGUGAUUAGGACU